Molecule: ribosomal RNA, 663 nt
Filed under: uncultured cyanobacterium
Lineage: Bacteria; Bacillati; Cyanobacteriota
Description: bacterial SSU rRNA
Rfam family: Bacterial small subunit ribosomal RNA
Source: RNAcentral
CGGACGGGUGAGUAACGCGUGAGAAUCUGGCUUCAGGUCUGGGACAACCACUGGAAACGGUGGCUAAUACCGGAUGUGCCGAGAGGUGAAAGGUUAGCUGCCUGAAGAUGAGCUCGCGUCUGAUUAGCUAGUUGGUAGAGUAAGAGCCUACCAAGGCGACGAUCAGUAGCUGGUCUGAGAGGACGAUCAGCCACACUGGGACUGAGACACGGCCCAGACUCCUACGGGAGGCAGCAGUGGGGAAUUUUCCGCAAUGGGCGAAAGCCUGACGGAGCAAUACCGCGUGAGGGAGGAAGGCUCUUGGGUCGUAAACCUCUUUUCUCAGGGAAGAACACAAUGACGGUACCUGAGGAAUAAGCAUCGGCUAACUCCGUGCCAGCAGCCGCGGUAAUACGGAGGAUGCAAGCGUUAUCCGGAAUGAUUGGGCGUAAAGCGUCCGCAGGUGGCAAUGUAAGUCUGCUGUUAAAGAGUCUAGCUCAACUAGAUAAGAGCAGUGGAAACUACAUAGCUAGAGUACGUUCGGGGCAGAGGGAAUUCCUGGUGUAGCGGUGAAAUGCGUAGAGAUCAGGAAGAACACCAGUGGCGAAGGCGCUCUGCUAGGCCGUAACUGACACUGAGGGACGAAAGCUAGGGGAGCGAAUGGGAUUAGAUACCCCAGUAGUC